GGUAUCAGUCCACUAGCAUAUCUCUUGCAAGCUGAGAGAAGUUAAUAUAAAGCAUUGUAAUCGCUUUCACAGCCUCCAGGACUCAUAAGACACCAUAAGAAGAAGUUUCUCAAUCUUAAAGUGUUCUAUAAGAUACUAAAUCUUAAGUCUCCUGGAGGCCACUGGGGAAAUGAAAAGGCUUUGGUUUCUACGAAGAAGAAACAGACUAUCUAAGAUAGGACCAUGAAGAAGGAGUAAAACCAAGGGAAGACAUGCUAACGCUAAACAAAGCUGGGAGGAGAAUAUCCAUCAUUUCCAGAUGUGGACAUAUGAUCCAGGAGGCAAUUGAAGGUCUGUGGUUUAAGAAGUUACCUAGUCUUCUGCUCAUGCUCCACUAAUGACAGUUACCAGAAAAUGUUGUAAUGUUGAUAUUACUUAGGAAGGCUUUGACUGUCCAGCAUCCAUACCGACAGCAUUAAGUAAAGAAAUUCUGAGCCAGUAAAACAGGCUCCAUGGUCACAGGACACCAGCUUUGGCCGUACUACAUUGUCAUUCAUUCCUCCCCACCACACGCGUGCCUGACCAUAUAGGAAAAUGAGUUUACAACCGACUACGCCUAUGGGACUCCCGGAGGGAUACAAUGUGAGAGCCUUUACUAGUGGAGGAUAGUUCUCAAAAGGUCUGAAAGUUUGACAGGUGGCAGCAAUACAAGUGGGAUAUCAUCCAGAAGCAGCUCAUGGGGACCAAAGUAUGGACCCCUUCCAGAGGCUUGAGGCAAGAAGGGGCUUUCAAAUCCAACCUUCUCCAUGGAUUUGAAAGGCCUGCUUAGAACCUAAGAAGGCACUAAGCCUAAGCAGCCUGAAUGAAACCCCUUCUUCAAGCAGCCAAUGUUAGCUGCAGAGGAGUGGAACUGCACUCUUGGCCCAUUCAGGGGCAGACUGUGAUUUUAGUCAGUCAGUAACCACAUAUAAUUAGAAGGUAAUGUUUAUUACACAUCCUGAUUACUGAUACUAGUCAUAGAAAGUAUUAUUUUCAGUUUUUUUUUUUUUUAAUUAAAAAACAAAGUAAUUUUAUUCUCACACUGAUCUGGAAAAUAAAUACAUUUUUCUCAGUAACUCCAGUGUGGCCAAAAUGGACUAAUGCUUAAGGAAAACAGCUAUGCAAAGGUGUUU
This is a long non-coding RNA of Oxyura jamaicensis (ruddy duck), 1151 nucleotides long. RefSeq lists it as uncharacterized. Lineage: Eukaryota; Metazoa; Chordata; Aves; Anseriformes; Anatidae. The record is from RefSeq and is a predicted model, not a curated record. The transcript has 7 exons.